RNAcentral lists this ribosomal RNA (309 nucleotides) under uncultured bacterium. RNAcentral describes it as "SSU rRNA". It matches the Rfam family "Eukaryotic small subunit ribosomal RNA", at positions 39 to 352 of the family's 1831-position model. RNAcentral also lists the same sequence under 1 other name. The record is from RNAcentral.
AAAGAUUAAGCCAUGCAUGUCUAAGUAUAAGCAAUUAUACAGCGAAACUGCGAAUGGCUCAUUAUAUAAGUUAUCGUUUAUUUGAUAAUACCUUACUACUUGGAUAACCGUGGUAAUUCUAGAGCUAAUACAUGCUGAAAAUCCCGACUUCGGAAGGGAUGUGUUUAUUAGAUAAAAAACCAACGCCCUUCGGGGCUCCUUGGUGAAUCAUAAUAACUUAACGAAUCGCAUGGCCUUGCGCCGGCGAUGGUUCAUUCAAAUUUCUGCCCUAUCAACUUUCGAUGGUAGGAUAGUGGCCUACCAUGGUGG